This 489-nucleotide ribosomal RNA is filed under the name uncultured bacterium. RNAcentral's name for it is "partial 16S ribosomal RNA". It matches the Rfam family "Bacterial small subunit ribosomal RNA", at positions 28 to 507 of the family's 1533-position model. The record is from RNAcentral.
GAUGAACGCUCGCUACAGGCUUAACACAUGCAAGUCGAGGGGCAGCAUGAUUGAAGCUUGCUUCAAUCGAUGGCGACCGGCGCACGGGUGAGUAACACGUAUCCAACCUGCCGAUAACUCGGGGAUAGCCUUUCGAAAGAAAGAUUAAUACCCGAUAGUAUAGUAUUUCCGCAUGGUUUCACUAUUAAAGAACUUCGGUUAUCGAUGGGGAUGCGUUCCAUUAGAUAGUUGGCGGGGUAACGGCCCACCAAGUCAACGAUGGAUAGGGGUUCUGAGAGGAAGGUCCCCCACAUGGGAACUGAGACACGGUCCAAACUCCUACGGGAGGCAGCAGUGAGGAAUAUUGGUCAAUGGACGAGAGUCUGAACCAGCCAAGUAGCGUGAAGGAUGACUGCCCUAUGGGUUGUAAACUUCUUUUAGACGGGAAUAAAGUGGAGUAUGCAUACUCCUUUGUAUGUACCGUAUGAAUAAGGAUCGGCUAACUCCGUG